UUGGGGAUAUAGCUCAAUGGGUAGAGUGCUUGCCUUGCAUGCACAAGGCUCUAGGUUCAGUCCCCAGCACCAAA
RNAcentral lists this transfer RNA (74 nucleotides) under Marmota monax (woodchuck). RNAcentral describes it as "tRNA.Ala". The record is from RNAcentral. Lineage: Eukaryota; Metazoa; Chordata; Mammalia; Rodentia; Sciuridae.